Molecule: long non-coding RNA, 792 nt
Organism: Pieris brassicae (large cabbage white)
Lineage: Eukaryota; Metazoa; Arthropoda; Insecta; Lepidoptera; Pieridae
Exons: 2
Source: RefSeq, a predicted model, not a curated record
CUGAGCGUGAAAUUAAGUGACCGUGGUGUGUUAGUGAUUAAUUAAAUGGACGGCAUUUUGUGCAUAGCUUACAUUGCAAUCGAAGUUGAAAAACUAUUGAUAAUGAACCUUCCCGUAAUAAUAUUAUUCGCAAUGCUUAGUAAUGUGAUAGGUCAAACUAAGAAGUCAAAACCACCACUGGAGAUAUAUAUAUCCAAUUGGCAAGACUACAAUCUGCCUUCACCAAUAUUGGCUUCUAAAUUGAAAGAAAUUCUCGAUAAAAUCUCUCUAUAUAAAACUUUACAAUACUGCCCGUUCCCGAACAAAAAAUGCUACGAACAAUCGUAUAAAAGUGUCGUGGCGAAAAUAAUUAAGGACGUUCAGGAAAAAAAUAACUAUAAAGACAAAAAUACUACUAUCGAUAUAACGAAUAAUUGUCCAAACAGACUGAAAUAUGCAAAGAAAAAACAGCCAACAGAUCAAAAAAGAGUCUUCAGGACAAAGCCUAAACAUUCGAUAGCAUAUGGAAACCACUUAGUUCAAUUUUUUUAACAUAUUUUAACAAAUGACAAUUUUUAUUAAAAUAAUUUAAAUUUAUAGAAUUGUCGAUUCGUUUCGCGUGGUCGUAAUUUCGACAUUUCGGUAUAAAGCACGCAAAACGCCACGAAAUAUAUAUAUAUGUUAUAGAGAAUAAACGCCUUUUGAAUUUGUGUUUUAAUAUAAAACAAGUGUAUGUUUUAAAUACUAAGAACACGCAAGAAUUGAUUCAUAUUUGUACCCGUUAGUACAAUAAAUAAUACAAUUAUUUCCUUA